ACAGUUAUCAGUAAAAAUAAAAACAAAUGAAAAAUUAUAUGGAAUGAAAGAUUUUCUCUUCAUUCAUUUUCCAUUGGAAUUGGAAAUUUAAAUAUUUUUUCGGCAAGUGUUGAAUUUUGACUUACACAAUGUAGGCACAUAAAUGAUUUGCAAUCACGUACUACAUACGUGAACUCGAAGAGUUUUCUCAGCUUAUGGAGAAGCUAAAGGUUCCAGAAAUUUCAUCAACUUAUCAGAGAUAAUUGGUUUCGGUAUAGCUGGGUAAUGAUAGAUCAAACUUAGAUUAAGAAAGCAACGUUGAUUCCUCAGUUCGAAAAAAUGCCUCUGCAAACAAAGAUGGCGAAUUAUAAUAUGGAGCAGUGUUGUGAAGAAAUAAACGUGUAUUUAGAAGUUCCUGUUUCUAGACUACUUUUAGAGAAUAAAUAUCAGAUAUUGAUAAACUAUGAAAAGUGGGAAUUCAGACGUAGAAAAUACUCUCAUUUAGAAACAUCGUCAUUAUAAUGAAUUUGCGUUGAAAUCUUCGCACUUGGAAAUAUCUGCCCUUAAUCAGAAAUAGAAUGAAGCGAAUAUGAAACCUAAUUUGAGAAAAACUAAUAUGUUCAAGUUCGACACACCGAACUACUGAAAGUGUUACAAUAAAAUAUCAUAAUUUCACCAACAACAACACUGAUAUUUAUGUGGAAGAAGAAUACUAUCGAGAGUGUCAGAAACUGAGGCCUACUUUCGAGAAUCGUUGACUAGCAGUAUCAACCGAAGAUUUUCAACUUUUGAUUUCUGGGACACGAUCGACUCGCGCCUAUGAAUUUAGUUGGAUUAUACUAAAAAGAGAUCGUUGAACAUGAUGCACGAAACCGAGCAACGAUGAAAGUGAAUUACAGAACAACGUAUGAGAAGUUUCCAUCGAUUCAAAACAGCUUCUGAUCAAUUGUAUUAUAUUCGAAAUUCUAGGCUCGCAAUAUUACGAAUGAAAUUUGAAACCAUUCAUACGGAAUUUCAGAAAGUAAAUUGUAAAAUGAAAAAAGUAUUGACAAAAUAUAUAUUUGGAUAUCUGAAAAGUGAAGAUUAUGAUCCGUAAAUUUUCUGUAACUGUAUCCUUUUUUUUUUUUUUUUUUUUUCUAAAGAGCCUGUGAUGAAAGAAAAACAUUUUUUAUUUCUUGAAACACAAAUUUUCGAAAACUUUUGCCCUCGCUGCGCUCGGGCUUGUAUUCUUUUUUUUCGGAAUCAAGGUGGAAAUUUCUAUUAGAAAAAUUAUCAAAUUUUCAGUCUACACCACCCCCCCUCCCUCAAAAACCUAAAAAUAGCUUCUGCUUUAGAAUGGGAUCCAACAUGAUAUCUGUCAUGGGUUCGCAUCGGCUCUCGACAGUCUUUUUUUUUUUUUUUUUUCUAAGGAAGUAUUGUUUGAUAUUGAAAAGUUAUGGCUACUGCCAUAUACAGUGAAAUUUUUCUAUUUUAUGCUCUGCUAGUACUUAUGUAUACCUAAAAGUAUGUUUUUCUGUUUAUUUUUAUGUUCUUUCAAUUCAAAAUUUCAUUGAAAGUAUCAAGACGUAUCACGUUAUAAAUUUUGAAAUUUUCUAAUAAAGUAUUUUGUGUUUUUUAGAUAAAUUGAUUUUUUUUU
Planococcus citri (citrus mealybug) is the source of this 1615-nucleotide long non-coding RNA. RefSeq lists it as uncharacterized. The record is from RefSeq and is a predicted model, not a curated record. The transcript has 6 exons. NCBI's taxonomy places the organism in Eukaryota, Metazoa, Arthropoda, Insecta, Hemiptera, Pseudococcidae.